AGGACGAACGCUGGCGGCGUGCUUAACACAUGCAAGUCGAGCGGUAAGGCCUUUCGGGGGUACACGAGCGGCGAACGGGUGAGUAACACGUGGGUGAUCUGCCCUGCACUUCGGGAUAAGCCUGGGAAACUGGGUCUAAUACCAGAUAUGACCUCCUAUCGCAUGGGUGGGUGGUGGAAAAGAUUUAUCGGGUGCAGGAUGGGCCCCGCGGCCUAUCAGCUUGUGGUGGGUAAUGCCUACAAGGCGACGACGGUAGCCGACCUGAGAGGGUGACCGGCCACGACUGGGACUGAGACACGGCCAGACUCCUACGGGAGGCAGCAGUGGGGAAUAUGCAACAAUGGGACGAAAGCCUGACUGACAGCGACGCCGCGUGAGGAUGACCGGUCUGGGU
This 394-nucleotide ribosomal RNA is filed under the name uncultured soil bacterium. RNAcentral's name for it is "bacterial SSU rRNA". It matches the Rfam family "Bacterial small subunit ribosomal RNA", at positions 26 to 422 of the family's 1533-position model. The record is from RNAcentral.